Molecule: long non-coding RNA, 1739 nt
Organism: Phragmites australis (common reed)
Lineage: Eukaryota; Viridiplantae; Streptophyta; Magnoliopsida; Poales; Poaceae
Exons: 3
Source: RefSeq, a predicted model, not a curated record
GGCGGAGGAGCAAGAGGGAGCCCUUGAGGACAUAUUCACUGCCCUGCGCUGGGAGCAGUAUAUCAUCCCCUGACACAUCAUGCCACACGAAUCCGGUCUUGUACCUCCUGCAUUGCAUAUAUCAGUUGCCCCCAGCUCGAGACCAGGAAUACAUGGCAGCCAUACCCUUCCCUCUCAGCGCGUCCAGCCGGUGUGUCACAUCUGCAUGCAUUCAUAAUUUGUUGAAGCAGCAGCAGCAGCAGCAGCAGAAAAUUAGGCCACGACAAGACUAGCAAUUUAUCCAAACACAAAACUAGGAGGUGCUAGGAAGGAGAAUUGGUGCCUGACUAGACUGACCUCGGAGGUAGAGGACGUGGUUUGGUGAGGCGAGGGGCAGCUCCAUCAAGUGCGGGUGCUCCAGGUGGCGGCCGUUGCGGCACAGGUAGUACACCACCGUCGCCGUUCCUGUCUCAGCUGUGCUUCGGCUGGCACGGGGCCUCCUCACCCUUCCCUCCAUUGUUGCCCGAUCCCUUGCUGCUGCUUCCUCCGACAUGGCUUUCCUCUCCUUCCCUUCCUUCCCUAGCUGAAGACUGCAGAGGACAAGAUACAAGUGAAGCAACUGCUUACUUGUCGUGACUGUGCUGUGGUGUGCUGCAGUGCAAUGCGGUGAUGCAGCAGAGUGUGGCAAUUGAUUACAGCAACCAAGUGUGGAAGACAAGCAGGCGCAUCUAAGUAGAGCAAGGAGGAGGAGGAGGAGGAGUUGAAACGAGCAAGCUUGUGUGUCUAGUCUUAAGAGUGUAGUGGUGGUGGUGGUGGUGGAGUGGUAAAGCGAUAUGAUCAUAUGGCGUGUGGAAUCAAACACGGUGGUGAUAUAUGUAUAAACACCCGGGCCACCCCUUUGCCAUCCUGGAUUCUCAGCUCAGAUAGCUGUAUAUCGGCCGGACUUAUUAGUACAUACAGUAGAGUGCAUGAGGAGGGAGGCAGGUACAUACUGGAUGAUCUGAUCUGAUCUGGUAAAGCAGCAGCAGACAUGUAUACGGACGGGAGAGAGGUAGCUGUUGUGUUGCUGGUUGCUACCCAUAUUCACAUGGCUCUAACUACUCUGUCAUCACAGCCAGCCACAGCACAGGUAAAGAAGACCAGUAGAGUAGAGCAGAGCAGAGCAGAGUACAUUACAGUACAGUUGGGUGGGAGGCUGCAGUGAGAUUUGGUUGCUUUGCAUCUCCGUCGUGUCUGUCGUGCCCCUUUUUUGCUUUCUUUCUUUUCACAUGAUUCCCUUUUCUUGCUCGUGUGGUGUGGUGGAAGCCCUCUCUGCUGCCCCCCUGGCCUGCAUUUCCAUUCCAACUGACUCGACUAAUUUAAUUGUUCCCUCUUCCUUGGUCAGUGACAUGACAUGCCACAGCCGAGUGAGUGAUUCAGAUUUCAGAAGGGAAGAGGAAGAGGAAGCGCUGCUACCCACCUACUUCUUGUUGGGCUGCCGUGCCAGAGCAAUUGAAGGAAUUCAUGCUUACGAGGGGGAUUAAUGCUUGAAGGUGGUAGUGGCGUAGCGUAUCACUGUAGGACCUACCUACCUACCUAUCAUGCCUUGCAAGACACUGAGCAACCGUCUCCAGCUGAAAACAGCUCUCCUUCACUGCUACGCUUGGACUCUUCUCUGUCAAUACUAGUCCUUAUUCAAGAAGACGAACGGACCUCUCGCCUGCCGGACCAACGGGCAUAGCUCAUUAAUUUCCUUUUUUUCCUCCUCUUUUUUUCUCGCC